Molecule: ribosomal RNA, 305 nt
Filed under: uncultured bacterium
Lineage: Bacteria
Description: bacterial SSU rRNA
Rfam family: Bacterial small subunit ribosomal RNA
Source: RNAcentral
GCCUACGGGGGGCAGCAGUAGGGAAUUUUCGUCAAUGGGCGCAAGCCUGAACGAGCAAUGCCGCGUGAACGAGGAAGGUCUUCGGAUCGUAAAGUUCUGUUGAAGGGGAAAAAGAGCGGAGAGAGGAAAUGCUUUCUGAUUGAUAUUACCCUUCGAGGAAGUCACGGCUAACUACGUGCCAGCAGCCGCGGUAAUACGUAGGUGGCGAGCGUUAUCCGGAAUGAUUGGGCGUAAAGGGUGCGUAGGCGGCCUGCUAAGUCUGGGGGGAAAGGUACCGGCUCAACCGGGACAGGCUCUGGAAACUG